AAAAUUAGAGAAGCAUAGAAUAAGAUAGCACAAUGCAACUAAAGAAGUUUUCAUAUUCAUACAAAACCAAAGGUCUGCAAUACAAAACACUUAUCACAUAUUAUAGAGCAACAUACAAUAAUUGAAAGCCGAUUAUAACAAAACUCAUAAUAGGAUACUGAUAAGGAGAAUAUAUUAUUGUUAUUAUUAUUGGCAAGAAGCAACACACAAGGCUGAGUAUUUAAUCAGAAAUUUAAUUACCAAGAAGUGCAAGGAUGAAACGCUUGUAGUCGCCAGAGGUCUCCUUGGACACAGCAUCAUCAAGGGUAACACUGUUUCUCUUGUGAUAAGCCUCCUUUAUCUGCCUCAAGUCUUUCUCAGCCCUCGAUACCACCACUCGGGUUAACGCAUCUUCAUCGCUCUUCCCGACCCUCUUGAUUGCAUUUCGCACCACCUGAAAAUUACCAUUUUUUUCUCAAGGUUUCUUUGCUUGUUUUUGUUUUUGAAAUUUUCUUUCAAGUCAAAAGGGUGUUUUAAGUACAAUUUUUAAAAACCAAAUAAUAAUCAAAGUGACCUAAAUAACUAAACUAAUGCAUAAGUUGUGUGUAUAGAAACAAACUUAAGCAGGAACAUAAGGGUAGUUUGACGGAAGGUACCUUCUCGUAGUACUGGUAAGGGUCAUCGAUGCAUUCAAUGAUAGUUCGCAAUGCUUCUGUGAACUCUUUGCCUGCUUUAUCACUGGACAAUUGCUACAAGAAAGAACCACUUGUUUAGACUUUAAAUAUCAUGUGGUUCAAUUGUUUUAGAGGAAAAGUAAAGUGAUACUAUUUCUAUCUUCCAACAAUAUAGCUCAACUACAAAGCUUUUAGUCUUAAGAUUUCAAGGUAAAUCAAAACUAUCAGAACAUGGUUUAUCGCGCAAUUCAUUUUUCAAUACAUAUAAGCCUUAUGUCAAACUUACAUAUAGAACUCCACUCAUUCUCCAUGAACAUAAUUUUCUUAUGGCAUUGUCAUUUGGAAAAUCAACCAACAUUUAUGGAAUUUUAGUGUUGGGAGGGAAGAGGAGAGGGGGCAGAAAAAGAAAGAACAAAAACAGAGUAGGAACAAAAAUGAUGCCAAAGGGUCAAAAAUAGAAUUGUUAUGAGUUAAGUUGUGUACCUCAGAAAUGGAAAUACCGUAGGCAUCUUUGUAGUGAUUGAAAGUUGCAACCAGCUGUGGCCUACUCCUUGUGGUUAAGAUCCUGACAACAUCUUCAUGAUAGAAGGUUUUGUCUUUGAUUGCACGCUCAAGUCUCUCCGCUUCUGAUUUAGCGAGGCUUAGAUCUACAUCCGCUCCAUUGUAACGGUAUGCACUCACUAAUCCAACCAACAGCUGCAACCAUUUGGUUUCAUCACUAUUUUUGUAACUUCUUAAUUAUCCAACCUAAUGCCAAACCGUGUCUACCUCACAUGUUCAAAACAUAUUCUACUUGAAAUUGUCCAAAUUUUUCAUUUUUCUAUUUGAACAUUUAUUUAUUGUUCUAUUCGAAAAUAAAAGUUUUUCUUUUUUUGAGUUCGAAGAGAAAUUCAUUGAUACAGUGUCUAUAUAUACACUAUUUAUUGUUUAUUGUUAAUUUUUAAAAUACCCCAUACUAUUAAAAUAAAAUAUGUAUAUGAAGUUAAAUAAUUUUUGAAUUAAGAGAUGAACAAAAGGGGUGGGGACUGUGUGGGUUAAGCUUAAGUUACGGACCGUGCGUAAAUCGUCGUUGGUGCUGGCUGCAACAUCUUCCUCUAAGGAACGCUUGUAGCGGUGCUGGUAAGCCCUCCUGACCCCCAAUAGCUCCUCAGGAGAGUAGAUGCAAGAAAGCUCGACCAGCACAGCAAAAUCUUCCUUCGGCUUCCUUAUGGCUAUGUUGGCCAAUACAGCAUCUCUGUCCUCAGGAUCCAGCAUCCAUCGGUACACAGCUCUCUGUUUCACCCACAAACAAAUUAACUCUCGAACUACUGUAACCACCAAAACAAAAAGAAUCGGACCGAAUCGAUCUUCUUGAUGAAACUAUACCAAACAAAAACCUAGAGUUAAUUCUUCUUAUUCUUUUUUUUUUUUUUUUUUUUUUUUUUUUUUUUUUUGCUUUAUUUUUCAGCGAAAAAAUUGUGGCGGACAACCAGGUAAGAGUCAAUCAUCGAUGUGACAGAAACUGAUAUUGAUGAUACCGAUAAUCGACGUUGAGAACACAUCACACAUGUAUGGUGAUGAUAAUAAAGACGAUGGGCCGAUGAACAAGAAAGUAGAAAGAAAAUAAUGACGAUGAUCGACUUUUGAAAAAGACAGAAAAAUGAGCAGGCUUGAACCGUAAAAGCUGGGGCUACUAAGGGUAACGGAUGAAGUCGAUGAACACAAGUAUGAUGCGGACGAUUUAAAAAAAAAAUGAAAAUCAGAACCUCGAAGUGGCCAGAGAUCUCCGAUUCAAGGCGCUUGAUAAGAUCCUCUUGGAAAAGCUGUUCGUAAGCAAUCCUGAUAUGCCUCCUCUGAAUCGCAUUUCUAUGAGCAAGGAUGGAAAUAAUGGCCUUCUCGUCGGAUCCCCAGCCUAUGAAGAAGAGAAAAGAGAUUCAGAACCAUAGCACACAACAAUAGAAGAAAUGGAAAAAUAGGUAAUGAAGGAAAGCAAAUGAGUGAUGAGUAAAUCAAAUGAUAAGGGCUAAGGGAAUGAAUGGAAUGGAUUUGAAUACCUUUGAAAGCGGUUCUGAGAGCUUCGGCGUCAACAUUGGCAGAAGGAACGUCACGAGGAACAAUCAAGGUAGCCAUAGCUUCACCAAUCUUCUUAGAGUUUCUCUUCCAGUUGAGUUGGCAGUACAAAAUGCUUUCUUCCUCACUUGGCGUCUCUCCCGCUAUUUAUACUCCAAUCCGGAUUUUCCUCUUCUUUCGUUGCUGUCUUAAUAAUAAUUCUCAAACUAAAAUAAAGUAAUAAAUAAAUACGUAAAAUGAUUUUUUUAAAAUUUUAACUCACAACUUAAAUAAAUAAAUAAAUACGUAAAAUAAUUAUUAUUUUUUUAUAAUUUCAUUCAAAAUUUAUUAAUAUUAUAAUCAAACAGAUUUUGUGAUCUUUACACAUCUAAUAAAAAAUAGUAGUAGAUCAUUAUUUGCAUAAGAAAUCAUAUGUCAGUGUUUGUGACAUGGCUAAAUCUUUGAUUCUUUUUGGUGUUUGGAAGGUGAGAAAAUUCAGAAUAUGAAUGAAGAAAAAUGACUCAAUGCAUUGUUCUUCCUUGACAUUAACGCCAACCCCACAUGGCUUCUCUUCAUAAUAUAUUGUUCUUUAAUUUGUUGAGCUAAUUUAUUUUUAAUUAUCUAUGUUCUUCGAUCUUCCCAAUGUCUUCUGGAAUUUAUGUUUCCCUGCCCUAAUCUUUAGAUUCAUUAAUAGAAUAAAUAAUAAUAAUAAUAAUAUUCCUUUUUUGAUCUUCUUCACAUGUUGGGUUAAAUUACAUUAUCCUAACAUAUUUUACCAAAAUAUUCAUUUUUUCAUUACUCAAUUGAUAUGAGUUUUUAAUGGUUAUUAGGGUUGAGUUAAGCUCGAUUUAGCGUUUUAUUUGGACUAAUGGGUUGUUUUUAAGGCUCUUUGAAAAAAAUACUCAUAUUUCUAACGAAAAAUUUGCUAUAUUACAGCUUUGAUUUUUUUUUACUAGUUGAAUUUGAAAUAAAUUUACAUGUAAUAUAAAGUCUUCAAGUGAAGACAUUUUAAUAUUCAACUUUGUAUUAAUUUUAAAUUUAAGUUCACGUUAUAUAUAGUUGAACUUAAGAUUUGAUUUUAAAGGGGAAAAAAGAAAUUAAAGUUAACAUUAUAUAUAAAAUUUGAAAAAGAGAAACCAAACCCUUGAAAAUGGUUUUGUUUAAGUUAAUUGUAAUGAUGCCAUUUGUCUGAUUGUGAUAUUAGUCUGUAAAACGUUAUUUGGAGUUUGUGUUUUGGGUAUGAUUUAUUAAUUAGUUGGCAAUUUUGAUUUUUAUGUUAAAGAAUCAAUCAAAAUGGGUUAGGUGUGUUGGUGAUGGCAGCUUUUGAACAAAUUACCAUAUAUGAUCUCUUCUUCCUUUUUUAUGCUUUGUUGUUAUAUACACGUAUUUUAAUUCAUAUGAAAUAAUUAAUAUAUGGCCCCAAACCAACGUUUCCUAUAAAAACUUUAUAUCAUAGGAAACAUUUUCUUAAUUUGAAUGUAUUCAUUAUUGUUUAAUUAAAGAGACUUCAAUUCAUUUUCUUUUCUUGAUUUUUCAUAUCUCUUCUUCCUUAUUGUUGUUGCACAAAAGUCUUCCAAAAUGAAAUAAAUGGGUCCAUGUACAAUAAUAUCAAGGGGCAUAAGGGAUCAAACUUUUCCAUCUUUUGUAUUUCAAUAAACAUUAUUAACUAUGAUUUGUUGGGAGUUUUUGUAAGUGUAGCUUAGAGGUGAAGACACUCCUCAUCUCAAGAGCUAACGUUUAAAGUCUCUAUCAUUAUGUUUAUAAAUGUAAUGCACUAAAAAGAAUAAUUUAAAUUUUGAGUUUACUUUCUAUUUUUAUUUGGGUUAAGUUUUGAGUUUAAAUGCAAUUUAGUCUUAAUUUAGUCUCUUGAUUCAAAGGGUUACAAGUAUAAAUUUAGUCUCAAUCUAGAGUUAAUUUUAAAUAUUGGUUUCAUAAUUAUUUUAGAGUAAUUAUUCAGCGAUGGAUAGAAUAAAAUGUAAAUAUAAGGAUGUAUAGAUGAAAUUGAAAUAAAAUUCAAACAAAUAAAGCGAGAGCAUAAAAAGUACAAUAUAUUCUCUUAAUUUUAUGUUUGAUUGUGUAUGACAACUCGCGCGAGCACACAGAUGUGUAUAAAUCUUCUAAAUGCUACAAUGAAAAAGAUAGGGAGGGGGAAAAGAAAUGUGGGUGAGGUGAACACUUGGGGGGAAGUGCUUUCUGAAAAAGCAUUUCUGCAAAAUUUGUCAGAGCUGCAAUAUAUAAUUAAAAACUACAUAAAGCUUCUUUUUUUUUUAAUUGAAAAAAUCAAUAAAGGACAGAUAGAAUUGCUUGAUUGCUCUGCCCUUCUCCCCUUUUGAAUCACACUCGAAUCAAAUUUGGCGGUGAUAAUUUUGACGGUGACCACAGCAAAAAGACAUUAGAAGGACCCAUUUUUGAAUAAGGAAAUCAUUUCCUGAAUCCACACCUAUGUAUCGGAUAAAUAAAGCAACCAAAAAAGAAUUUGGCUUACAUUUUGCUUUCCUUUCUUUUCAACCAAAGAAAAAACGUUUUACGUAAAUAAAAUUUGAAGCAUUAUUUGAUUGAAAAACCUUUUUUUUUUUUCUCCUCACUUGGAAACACUUAAUCCGAGUGGUUAAAAAUAUUGAUUCUACUUAAAAACACUUUUAUAAAUCAGUUAGAGAAUUAAGGCAAACAGGCCUAUCCAAUGUCACAUUUAUAGAGAAAGGAAAUGGACAUAUAAUCAAAUAAUGGCAGAGAGAUAGAGGUGAAUGAAAACAGAGGGAAAACAGGGGGUCUCAACAACAGAGAUAAAGAACAACACACAACUUAGUUAAUAUAAAUAUGUCCUCAUUACAAAACCAAGCAUUCUUCAACAAACACAAGUCUCAAGAGCACAAAACAGCUUAUUAUUUAAUAAACCAACUACUUACAAGCCGAUUAAAACACUCAUACGUAAUAUAUAUUAUUGUGGGUUCAGAAGCAGUGCUUUUACUCAGUUUGGUUACCAAGAAGAGCAAGGAUGAAGCGCUCAUAGUCGCCAGAGGUCUCCUUCUUCACAGCAUCAUCAAGGGUAACACUGUUUCUCUUGUGAUAAGCCUCCUUUAUUUGCCUCAAGUCUUUCUCCGCCCUUGUCACCACCACGCGAGUCAAUGCAUCCUCAUCGCUCUUCCCAACCUUCUUGAUUGCAUUUCGCACUACCUGUUUGUAAUCAUUUUUCCAAAAGAAUAUUAAUCAUCUCCGUAUCGUUCGAACUAUUGAUCUCAGCUUCUUUUAAAAUAGAGUUAAAGAAAUCAAGAUGGAAAGCUUUUUCAGAUCUUCAGUGAGAUUUCAAUGCAGGCAUUGGAAUGGAGAAUCACAUCAAAAUACGGACAAGAAUCAAGUACAUAAUCUACUUUGAUAAGAGUUUCAAAUCAUCACCUUCUCGUAGUAUUUUACAGGGUCAUUGAUGCACCGAAUCACAGUUUUAAGUGCUUCUGUGAACUCAUUGGCAUCACGAUCUUGGCCCAAUUGCUGCAACAGAGAAAAAAAAAGGAUAACAGCUUAAAGCUCAAACACAAUCCAGCUCCAAAGAUAUUCUGCUGUAAACUCUCUAGCUAAACUAAUAAGCAAUGUGGUGAACUAUCCAAUAGUAACUUUAUCCUCAGCUUUAUACCUUAGAAAUAGAAAUACCAUUGGCAUCUUUGUAGUGAUUGAAAGUUGCAAUCAGCUGUGCCUUACUCCUUGUGGUUAGGAUCCUUAUAACAUCUUCAUGAUUGAAGGCUUUGUCUUUAACUGCACGCUCAAGUAUCUCAGCUUCUGAUUUGGCUAAUUUUGCAUCUAUCUCUCCACCGUUGUAACGAUAUGCACUCACCAACCCCACCAACAGCUGCAAUCAUUAGGCAUAAACCAUCAAUCAACAAUUCACAAAACCUAUCAUCUUCAUUCUUGAGUUUAAGUUUGUUCAUGUAAUUCUAUUUACCUUGAUAUUCCCUUAACUAAUGUAUCAUUAACUCUUAGUCUUGUGUCAGUAGAAUAUCUGUAUUCAAGUUCCAUCACUUCAUUUUGGCCUCUUACAGUUUCAAAUUCCCCCAAUACAUCAAACCUCUUAACUUUUUUUUUUUUUAAUUUGUUUAUUUCAUAUCAUUUACUGGGUUUAGCCAUGAUUACAAUUUCUUAUCAGUUCAGAACGCGGGAUAGAAUCCAUAUAUUAAAUGGGAAGGAAUAUCCUCUCUCUUGGAGUACUGUUUCAGCUUAAAUCAUCGAACUCAGACAUGAUUGGUAAAAUAAAUUAAUAAGAUGAGAAGUUCUUUGUUCUUUAAAAUAACUAUAGCGAUCUCAAUCCCCAAAUGAAAAGUUGAUCUACAGCCCCAAGUUCAUCGAUCCAAGUUCAGAUGAUUAAGGAAAUCGUGAUCAAUGGGAAAUCGAAUAAAUAAUAUGGAUAAGGGAAAAGUUACGGACCUUGCGAAAAUCAUCGUGAGUGUUGGCGGCAACAUCUUCCUCUAAUGAUCGCUUGUACCGGUGUUGAUACGCUCUUCUGACUCCCAAGAACUCUUCAGGAGAGUAAAUGCAAGAAAAUUCAACAAGUACUGCAAAAUCUUCAUUGGGCUUCCUUAAGGCGACGUGAGCCAACACAGCGUCUCUGUCCUCUGGAUCUAGUAUCCAUCGGUAUACAGCUCUCUGUUUCAACAACAAACAAUCAAACUCUCAUAUUCUAUAAAAAAAAUCGUAUAAACAAGAAAAUCGGCCGAUCUUCAUAUAGAAAAGGGCAGAGAAUCCAAUAGUUUCGAUGAUCGCGAACAAGAGAGCAGUAAGUGAGACCGAUGAAAAAGACGACGAUCUAUAAAGA
RNAcentral lists this long non-coding RNA (7482 nucleotides) under Cucumis sativus (cucumber). RNAcentral's name for it is "long non-coding RNA (CSAT_LNC002121)". The record is from RNAcentral. Lineage: Eukaryota; Viridiplantae; Streptophyta; Magnoliopsida; Cucurbitales; Cucurbitaceae.